GACCUCGCGCUAUCGGAUGAGCCUAUGUCGGAUUAGCUGGUUGGUGAGGUAACGGCUCACCAAGGCGACGAUCCGUAGCUGGUCUGAGAGGAUGAUCAGCCACAUCGGGACUGAGACACGGCCCGAACUCCUACGGGAGGCAGCAGUGGGGAAUAUUGGACAAUGGGCGCAAGCCUGAUCCAGCCAUGCCGCGUGUGUGAAGAAGGCUUUCGGGUUGUAAAGCACUUUCAGUGGGGAAGAAGGCGUGCCGGCGAAUACCCGGUACGGACGACAUCACCCACAGAAGAAGCACCGGCUAACUCCGUGCCAGCAGCCGCGGUAAUACGGAGGGUGCAAGCGUUAAUCGGAAUUACUGGGCGUAAAGCGCGCGUAGGUGGUCGCUCAAGCCGGGUGUGAAAGCCCCGGGCUCAACCUGGGAAUGGCAUCCGGAACUGGGCGGCUAGAGUGCAGGAGAGGAAGGUAGAAUUCCCGGUGUAGCGGUGAAAUGCGUAGAGAUCGGGAGGAAUACCGGUGGCGAAGGCGGCCUUCUGGCCUGACACUGACACUGAGGUGCGAAAGCGUGGGUAGCAAACAGGAUUAGAUACCCUGGUAGUCCACGCCGUAAACGAUGUCGACUAGCCGUUGGGAGCCUUGAGUUCUUAGUGGCGCAGUUAACGCGAUAAGUCGACCGCCUGGGGAGUACGGCCGCAAGGUUAAAACUCAAAUGAAUUGACGGGGGCCCGCACAAGCGGUGGAGCAUGUGGUUUAAUUCGAUGCAACGCGAAGAACCUUACCUACCCUUGACAUCCUGCGAACCCGAGCGAGAGCUUGGGGUGCCUUCGGGAGCGCAGAGACAGGUGCUGCAUGGCUGUCGUCAGCUCGUGUUGUGAAAUGUUGGGUUAAGUCCCGUAACGAGCGCAACCCCUAUCCCUAUUUGCCAGCGGUUCGGCCGGGAACUCUAGGGAGACUGCCGGUGACAAACCGGAGGAAGGUGGGGACGACGUCAAGUCAUCAUGGCCCUUACGGGUAGGGCUACACACGUGCUACAAUGGCCGGUACAAAGGGACGCAAGACGGCGACGUGGAGCGAAUCCCAGAAAGCCGGCCUCAGUCCGGAUCGGAGUCUGCAACUCGACUCCGUGAAGUCGGAAUCGCUAGUAAUCGUGAAUCAGAAUGUCACGGUGAAUACGUUCCCGGGCCUUGUACACACCGCCCGUCACACCAUGGGAGUGGACUGCACCAGAAGUGGUUAG
This 1231-nucleotide ribosomal RNA is filed under the name Modicisalibacter ilicicola DSM 19980. RNAcentral's name for it is "bacterial SSU rRNA". It matches the Rfam family "Bacterial small subunit ribosomal RNA", at positions 209 to 1433 of the family's 1533-position model. The record is from RNAcentral. Lineage: Bacteria; Pseudomonadati; Pseudomonadota; Gammaproteobacteria; Oceanospirillales; Halomonadaceae.